Molecule: ribosomal RNA, 253 nt
Filed under: uncultured bacterium
Lineage: Bacteria
Description: partial 16S ribosomal RNA
Rfam family: Bacterial small subunit ribosomal RNA
Source: RNAcentral
UACGUAGGGUGCAAGCGUUAAUCGGAAUUACUGGGCGUAAAGCGUGCGCAGGCGGUUAUGCGAGACAGAUGGGAAAUCCCCGGGCUCAACCUGGGAACUGCAUUUGUGACUGCAUAGCUAGAGUGCGGCAGAGGGAGAUGGAAUUCCGCGUGUAGCAGUGAAAUGCGUAGAUAUGCGGAGGAACACCGAUGGCGAAGGCAAUCUCCUGGGCCUGCACUGACGCUCAUGCACGAAAGCGUGGGGAGCAAACAGG